GAAGUGGGCCAGACGACUGCGGGGCCCGUCAUCUGUAGACCGGAGGGCGGGCCAUGAGGAAAGUCCGGGCUCCACAGGGCAGGAAGCUGGCUAACGGCCAGGCGGGGUGACCCGACGGAAAGCGCCGCAGAAAAGAAGACUCCCGCUGCCCGCUCAGGCGGGUGAGAGAAAAGCUGAAACGGUGGUGUAAGAGACCACCAGCGCCUGGGCGACCAGGCGGCUUGGCAAGCCCCUUUCGGAGCAAGCGCAAAUAGGAGCGCCAUGGUGUGGCCCGCACUGCGCUCGGGUUGCGUGCUAGAGAGCACCGGUAACGGUGCCCGUAGAUAAAUGGCCGUCCACGACAGAACCCGGCUUAUCGGCCCACUUCGCUC
Molecule: non-coding RNA, 371 nt
Organism: Olsenella sp. oral taxon 807
Lineage: Bacteria; Bacillati; Actinomycetota; Coriobacteriia; Coriobacteriales; Atopobiaceae
Source: Rfam